GAGGCCAAUAGGCACAGUCAGCAGUAGGAGAGAAGCUGGGGUUGUAACUCAGGGUUCUGAUCUGAUUCAACUAUGCAAAUUCUCUGAAUCUUGUCCAAGGCUACACAACUGGAAAACAGGAAAGUUCACUUUCAAAGCCAGGUUCUCCAUUAUGCCAUUGGCCUGAAGUCUUAACUGGAGCCAAGUAUGGUAGAUUUAUGCCCUUAAACCUGCCCAACUAUGAGCCAAGGAUCUGUCAAGUUCCUUUUGAAAAUGUCCCUUGAAAUGGAAAUUCUCCUUUUCCUGAACACCGUCUAAAGUCUAACCAACUCUGCCUGGUAGAUCAUCAUGACUUCCCUAUAACAGUCUCCACUGGGACAGCACUGUCAAUCCAAUCAUUUAUCCACAUAGCUGUCAAUUCCUCCCGUUCCUUAAGAUGUCUGCUUGAU
Long non-coding RNA from Rattus rattus (black rat), 428 nucleotides. RefSeq lists it as uncharacterized. The record is from RefSeq and is a predicted model, not a curated record. Lineage: Eukaryota; Metazoa; Chordata; Mammalia; Rodentia; Muridae. The transcript has 3 exons.